Molecule: ribosomal RNA, 250 nt
Filed under: uncultured bacterium
Lineage: Bacteria
Description: partial 16S ribosomal RNA
Rfam family: Bacterial small subunit ribosomal RNA
Source: RNAcentral
ACGGAGGUUCCUAGCGUUGUUCGGAAUUACUGGGCGUAAAGGGAGCGCAGGCGGACGGGUCAGUUUAAAGUGGAAUCCCAGGGCUCAACCCUGGACGUGCUUUGGAUACUGCCUGUCUUGAGUUCGUGAGAGGAAAGUGGAAUUCAGGGUGUAGCGGUGAAAUGCUUAGAUAUCCUGAGGAACACCAGUGGCGAAAGCGACUUUCUGGCACGAAACUGACGCUGAGGCUCGAAAGCAUGGGUAGCGAACG